CUUUUAAUACAGUUUUAAUUUUUUAUUUUAUAUCAUUUAAUUUAAAUUUAUCAUGUAGUUGAUUUACAAUGUUGUAUUAGUUUCAGGUGUAGAGCAAAGUGAAUACAUAUGAAGAAACCCACUUUUUUCCCAUCUAGGUUAAAACCAUUACAAACUAUUGAGUAAAUUUUCCUAGGCUAUGCAAUCCUAAUGACUUUACCAGAAUAACCUCUAGCUAAUUUUUGACCCUCAUUUUUCAGACUCCAGAACCCCGUGGUGUUGUUUCCACAUACCACCUCCAGCUGGAGCACGUCUAUUGGCAGGCGUCUCAGGGCUGAUGUUUACUGGGCCCCUGAGUAGUGCCUGCUCCUGGCUUCCUUAUGACAAUGCUUUGCCUGAUAGUUAGGACACCCUACUACUGUCUGUAUACCAAGAAAAAGAGUUCAGUAACCAUGGCCUCUGAGUGUCAAACACUUGAGAUCGAAUCAGAUAUAAGCGUAGUCAUGUUAUAGAGAUAGAUUGUUGAAGUGGUUCAUCUGGAGCUUUUCUCAGUGAUGGUCAUAAGACUGUUCUGGAUGUACCAGUAUUUGGUCUGUAUCGGUAAGAUGACCAGAGACAGCUGCUUUUGAAAGAAGAGUUUAUCAGAGUUCCCAUCGUGGCUCAGCGGAAACAAAUCUGACUCGUAUCCAUGAGGAUGCAGGUUCGAUCCCUGGCCUCGCUCCCAUGGGUUAAGGAUCUGGCGUUGCCAUGAGCUGCAGUUGUAGGUCGCAAAUGUGGCUUGGAUCUGGCGUGGCUGUGGCGUAGACCAGUGGCUACAGCUCUGAUUCGACCCCUAGCUCUGGAUGGGUUUGUCUGUAUGUCAAAGGCAAGCUCAUUGGCAAGUUGAUUGCCAUCUCUAGGAAUUAACUAACUGGAGAAGGGGCAGUUCUUCCCUAGUAUGCAGGGCCCCAAGAUGUUAAAGCAUCAUAAAAUAUGGGGCAGGGGGUUGGGGGGUGAGACAUUAAAACAAUGACCCCAAAUGGCCAAUCACAAUGCAUUUUUCCCUAGUUCCACAUUCAAGGGGUGGUCAUGUGACCUAAGCCAGAACUAUCAAUCUUUUCCUUUACUCUUGUCAUGUAAGGAUAUGUUCCUGCAGCUCCUGGCAGCCAGGAAGGGCCAACUCUGAGUGAAGGAACCUGAUAUAUACAGAGAGCAACUGGAUGGCACUAAAGUCUUAUGAUGGAGUCACACAGACGUAAUAAAUUAAAAUCUCAGCUCUUUAACUUCACAUAUGACUAUGACUAGUUACAUAACCUCAUUUGAAAGUAGAAAUCUCAGGUUUUUGAUUCAAGUAAACACAAUGUCCUAAUAGUUAUUUUCACAUAGUAAGUACUCAACCAGUGGCAAAAUUAUUCUCAGAUAUGAUUUAAGAGGUUUAAUUAUUAGCACAUGGGAUUUUCUGUGAAGUGCCCCUCCAGGAGAAAUUUUUAGGCCCUCUAAUCUUUCCCCAUUGUCUUGUUUUCAUGGUACCUACCCUUUCAGCAUGGGGGAGGUGCCACACGUACAGCACCAAACACUGUGAUAGGCAUAUAGUAGAUGCUUUAGAAAAGUUGUCACCAUCUUUGGGAAUCCCUGGGCCGAGAAGAGCCUGAGUUGUGACCAGGACUCUCCUAUAUUUGGGGGCAGGACUGUCCUUGUGGAGGGGAUGGUGGCUUUAGGUUACCUCAGCUCCAAGACCACCCAUACUUACAUAUCUUAUGUAUGUCCGUUAAUACAUUGACUUUUGGAUUUUUAUUUUUAAAAAAGAUCACAUCUGCUUGACACUUUCUCUUUAGGACCAAACCCCUGAAGUCUUCCUCCCAGAGAGCCCUAGCUUCAUACUGCUUUAAGACAGGGGCCGUGUGUAUAUCUUACACUGAUGUAAAAUCACAAUACCCAAGUUCUUAUAAUUCUGCUUCUUGGCUUUGUGCUUGGGGUUGGUGCACUCCCACCACACCUGCAACAAGAAAGGUUAUAGCAUGACCGCUAGUUCAGGAAGAAGUAGAGUCAUUCGUGAGGAGGCUCUUGGGCACUGCUGCAGAUGGACCUAAGGGCUGACAAAUGGUCCCUAGUGGAUACCCUUGCAUCUGGAGGGGUAAUAAGGAGCAGUGGUAGAGAGGAAGAUUCUAAUAUCACUGCACCUGGUUUGAACCCAGCUCUUCCACUUUCCAGCUGUGUGGCCUUUUGGCAAAUUACUUGAUUCUUCCUUGCCUGGCGUAUCUCCCUGUAAAGUGGAACUUAAUUGUAAUUCUCUCAUAGGAUUAUUGUGAGGAUUGAGUGACUAACCCCUGUAAUACAUUUAGAACAGUGCCUGACACUUAAAAGCCCUUAUUACUAGUAGGGUCAAAUCAAGCAGCAAACGGAAGGAGCCAUCUGAAGACACACAACUGAGUAAUCCAAAUGCUGAGGCUUAGUGUCUGGGAAUUGAUUUAAGAGGUAGGGAAACUGAGGAAUGUCGAAUAGUGGCUACGAGAAGUUGGUGAGGAUAAUGAUGAGUUGGCAUAGCGCUUCUCAGAGGAGAACUAAAAUAAUGGACUGGUACAGGUCAACAGCAGUGGCACAAUGGAUGCCACAAAGGGGCUUCUGUGAGUGAGGCAUAGAGUCAGAUCUACAGGAGGUGCUGGGAACUGAGGAGGUAGUUGGGAGCUGAAGGGCUCUCGAGUCAAGCAGAUCUCAACUUGUCCAGUGUACAGAAGACUUCAGGGGAUAAGUCAAAAAUCCAAGUCAUUGCUGCUGCCCACUGUGCUAUGGGAGUAGAUCUUUGAAUUUCUACUCACAAAGC
RNAcentral lists this long non-coding RNA (2779 nucleotides) under Sus scrofa (pig). RNAcentral's name for it is "lncRNA (ENSSSCG00065038428.1)". Lineage: Eukaryota; Metazoa; Chordata; Mammalia; Artiodactyla; Suidae. The record is from RNAcentral.